UAAUACGAACUGUGCGAACGUUAUUCGGAAUCACUGGGCUUACAGGGUGCGUAGGCGGCUUCGCCAGUCAGGUGUGAAAGCCCCCGGCUCAACCGGGGAACUGCGCUUGAAACUGCGAGGCUCGAGUCAGCUAGAGGUGCACGGAACUUCCAGUGGAGCGGUGAAAUGUGUUGAUAUUGGAAGGAACACCGGAGGCGAAAGCGGUGCACUGGGGCUGGUCUGACGCUGAGGCACGAAAGCCAGGGGAGCGAACGGGAUUAGAUACCCCGGUAGUCCUGGCCGUAAACGAUGAGUGCUGGACGGGAGGAGGUUCGCCUUCUUCGGUCGGAGCGAAAGCGGGAAGCACUCCGCCUGGGGAGUAUGGUCGCAAGGCUG
RNAcentral lists this ribosomal RNA (375 nucleotides) under uncultured bacterium. RNAcentral's name for it is "bacterial SSU rRNA". It matches the Rfam family "Bacterial small subunit ribosomal RNA", at positions 521 to 896 of the family's 1533-position model. The record is from RNAcentral.